This 26-nucleotide microRNA is filed under the name Homo sapiens (human). RNAcentral's name for it is "hsa-miR-4685-5p". Lineage: Eukaryota; Metazoa; Chordata; Mammalia; Primates; Hominidae. The record is from miRBase by way of RNAcentral.
CCCAGGGCUUGGAGUGGGGCAAGGUU